AUACAUGAAUAAAAAUUUGAUCUAAAAACAACUUUUCCAGAUCAAUAAAAUCAGAUUUAAUCAUUGAAAAUAUUUUUUAAAAGGAUCCAACAUCGAUAUAGGAUAACAUUUACAACAUAAGGGGUAAACCUUAUGCUACGACAACCUUGUAUCACAUCGAUGUAGAUCAUUAAUCUAAUUAAUUUUAGAUUUGAUUACAAACCAGAUCACAUCUUAUUUUCAUGCAUAUGAACCCAUGGCUCUGAUAAUACUAUUGAAUUUUAGAUAUUUUGUAUGCAGAUUUCAAAAUAAUUUUGAAUACAAGCAAUGGAAGACA
This 316-nucleotide long non-coding RNA is filed under the name Elaeis guineensis (African oil palm). Its description in RNAcentral is "long non-coding RNA (EGUI_LNC040742)". The record is from RNAcentral. Lineage: Eukaryota; Viridiplantae; Streptophyta; Magnoliopsida; Arecales; Arecaceae.